Molecule: long non-coding RNA, 5259 nt
Filed under: Varroa destructor (honeybee mite)
Lineage: Eukaryota; Metazoa; Arthropoda; Arachnida; Mesostigmata; Varroidae
Description: uncharacterized LOC111244750
Source: RNAcentral
AAUGGCGGCGCGCUGUUUCACAAAUGCGUUCAUUCAAUACCAGUUUCUCCAGAUGAAAACUCCUUUUGAAAGUGAUGUAAACAACCUUACAACCAUGGCGAAAAAAAAUACUCCAUCACCGGAGCAUGAGCGAAGAUUAGCUAUUCUUCAGUGUCUCCAUGCUGGACGAACUCCGGCUGCAAUUAUAAACUUUCUUGGUUACCCGCAAUCGACGGUAUAUCGCAUCGCAUCGAAGUAUUGGGCUGCAAAAGAUGAAAAAGUAGGUAUGAGCACAGCACAGAGGAAAGCCCACGACAGACAAAAAACAGCCAGGACUCCAGAGUUAAUCGAUGCGGUUCAAAAAUGCAUUUCUAAUGAUCGGUCUAUUUCGAUCAGGGCGUUAGCGAAAAAAUUUGAAGUAAGUGGGCGUACCAUGGCACGGAUUGUUCACGAAGACCUCAGGGAGCAAAGUAUUCAAGCGAAGGCGUCUGGAACCACCAAGAAAGUGCCAUUAGUUGAAGCCAAGGGUGGCCACCUUGAGACCAGAGUGGCUAAAACUAAGAGUGAAAAAGGCCGUGAUAACACAGCGGAUUGAAACGCUGUUUUAAAAGUUCGUUGUAAAACCGCAGGGUUGGUCGAGGAAGAUUUGACUUCAUCCUCUAUGGCAUAUGAGCAUCAUGACUUCUCAGCGAACAAGUCAGACGAAGCUGUUUUCCAAAGGACCAGACGACAGGAUUAAGGCAAAUCUCUUUGGUUUGAUAAUUGUUUUAAACGACAAUUUAGAUUGAGUUCCAAACCACACAGCUUCCCGAGGCCAUUGACUUGUCAAAGGCAAUCAGUAACUUAGAGCGUACAAACCGAACAUUAACUUUGUGAUUCUUAUCGACGAUGUAUCAUAUCUACUGCGCAGUCUCACAUCUCGUGACAGCUGCGUAUCGACUUCAUCAUUGGAACCCUGUAUCACAGAUAGCAUUCGUUGUUCACGGUCUUUCUGAGGGUAUAGUAUUUGUUCUAUAUUUGUAGAUGUAUGAGUAGUUGAGAAAAAAGUUAUUCUAUGUGUAUCGUACCAAUUUUAUUUAUUAAUAAGCGAUCUCGCGGGUUGUGCAAAUGAUAACGACAUCUGCAAUACGAUGUGUACCGUUGUAUUUUGUAACGAAAUGUAACAAAGAUGUAUAUUGAGUGAACUUAACUUCUUUUCUUAAAUACCACUGUAAGUUAGUUCAUCAUUUCAUCACGAACGCAUUAAACCUGAAUAGCCAUAGAAAUAGGAUAGUUGGGAUUCUCAGAGACACAUUGAUUGAAUAAGAAAUUUUCACAAAUAACGUGGAACCAGAAGUUCUUUUCUUGUCGGGCGAUCUAGGAUGUACACCUUAUCGGUAAUUCUAUGGAUCUAGCAGAAUGUAAUUAGGACAAGUUUCUAUAAUAAUACUUACACAUAAUCUUUAAUGAAUACCCUUUGAAUUUUUAUAAUAUGGCAUAAGAGACUGAACCCCAAAUUAUAACUCUUUAGGUAUACUGAUAAUAAAAUUAAGCGAUCAUAGAGCCAAACGUUUUAGUGAGGGUUUUUAGGUAAACAGUUAUAAUGGUGUUUUCCAAGUGUGUUUGCUACCGAAAUGACUCACAGCGUUUGACGAAGCUCAACGCAUGUGUAGGUGUAGUAUGAUAAUUCUGCUAGAAGAAAAAAGCUAAACAUCAUCGUCAAUAAAUGACCGUCUGACGGUCCAUUUUCCCGUGAUGCUACCCUAAUAGAUCGAAACGGAAUGGUUCAUUUUUAGUCCAAAAUGCCAUGCUCUUGCCGUACCCACACAUCUCUAUUUAGAUUUAGAUUUAUUCUCUAUUCAGCUGUCUGACGGAACGCCUAACGGCAGAAUCGGACGUAAAACUCAAACCAUUUAUGCUUCGUUUAUUUAUGUAUAUAUAUAUAUAUAUAUAUAAAUACCGUAACGCCGUUAAAUAAAAGCGCAAAAUGGAUGCACCGAAGGGAACCGUCUUUGCGUGCCAUCCGCCGAAGUUGCUUGCGGUUGCCUCUGAAGGUAAGGAAGUUUUCUGUUAGCGAAUCAGAAUUCGCGCUUCCAUACAAAACACUCCUCGUAAAAACUCGCUCGACCUGAGAGAUCGGCAUUUCAUAGACCUACUAAGCAGAGGCAGCGUCACAAAACCGUUGGCGGCAGACGCUAGUAAUGUUUCGCAAGCGAAUUUUAAAUAGUCGUGUUCGGGUCUUAACGCCCGACGGAGCUAAUCUCCUGGCAGUGACCAGAAUUGUUAAAAAAAGUCUGUUUCAUAGUAGAUUUUUUGGUAGCUCGUUUCACGUUUAACAAAAAAGCAAUAGCAAUGGCCAUGUCAAAAAACUCGACUACAGUCAUUUUUAUGGAUUUUUUUGAAACAAUAUUCGGACUUAUAUAGGGUCCACGAGUAGCACACAAAAGUUAAUGUUGGGUCCAUAACUUUGCACGGGCAAGUUUAUCAAAGAGAAAAUAAAUCGGCCGUUAGAAAACUGCUACAACCAUUUGUCUCACAAAUGUUUCACUUCAAAGACCAAGCGUUACAGCCGUUCCCUCGAACAUAACUAAUAGAAGCAUAUCAAACCCAAAUCAAAGACAAACGUUUCCCGUGGCUUUACACAAUUUAUUUAAUGCCGACUAUUUAUUUUACUAUUGUUAUUCCGAUUAGCUGAUAUUUUACAGUCUUCCCAAGAACCACUAACCGCUACUGUUUUUUAAUCUUAGAUUAGUCGUAUUCUUCUUGUAGCCAGGUUUGCUGGACAAGAAAAAUAGGGCACUUUCAGAGACCUUCAACGUCCGUAUAGUGGGUCCAUCCCUGAGAACUUGUGGACAUCGGGGCAGGACAAUGCAGGUUUUAUCACCGAUUAUUUUUUAAGGUAAAUUCCCCGCGACGGUGCAGUAAUAAUGUGUUGUUCUAUUAAUUGGACGGACACAGAAGCUAUUAAAUCUUGAAUUUGGUAUUAAUUAAUGCUUGAAAAAGAUGUCCCUUUGCUACAAUCAUUAAUGUUAAGCUCCAUAAUCACGCAACAAACACGUAAAACAUCGUCGUUUUUGGAAUUGAAUAGAUGAAACUGCUAAGUAAAAGAUCCUCUAAAAACGUACCAAGACAACGCUCUUCAAGGACUUAUUCGUUGUGGUACUAAAUACCACAUAAUGCUAUGAUUUUAUUAAUAUUCUACUUUCCUUUCAUUAGAGCAAUAGGGGGCGAUAAAAUACUGUGACAUUAGCGUUUUAUUAUUGGUUUAUUAGGUGCCGACGUGUGCCUGCAGAAUGAAUAUCACUUGUUCUAGAGUUUUACCAUGCUCUCAGAGUACAUCUACAGACACUCGUUAACUCAAAAUGCUCAAAAUGGAACUUCUCUAGGAGCAGGUUUUUAUGAAAUUAGGUCCUCAUAGCCCCUCGCCACGAUCAUCUAGUAUGCCUACUAGAUGCCCAAAUUCGUCAAGCUUUCGCGUCCGUCAAUCUUCUAGCAACUAGCACUCCUUAAUAAUGUAGAACAUAAAUACUAUUCGUGUUGACUAGUGAAAUAACCGCCACGCAGAGUGUCUUGUUGGGCGAUACGUUGGAGUGGCAGAGACCUAUACGUAAGGUUGAAAUCCUUAUUUUCCACACCUUUUUUUGCAUUUGUACAAAUGUAAACAUUAUUUGUAUAAAUAAUUUAUUGUUAUGCUUUAGAAAGGUAUUUUCAUAUGUACCAAUAAUAACUUAUCGAACGAUACUUAAAGCGAUUCCUUUUGGGGGUCAAUUGAUUGUAGCGGCAUCUGCAAUACGAUGCAUGCCAGAGUGUCUUGUGACAAAAUCUAAAUAAAUAAAUCAAUGCCAUUAUUUUGAAAUAUCAUCAAGUAGUUACUAUAGCCAGGUAAUAAUUUCUAUUGCAUAAACGAAGUUGGAUCAUCGGAUUUUGUGUCUUUCCGAACGCGCCUCUGAAAGAUUACGACAAUAACAGAAUUUUCUGUAUUUAGUUGUAUAGAUUGAUGCUAGAUAUGUCACAGAUAGGGAAACAACGAAAUAUAAGGAGCUACCUUACUGGAAAACAACUGAAAAAUUUAAAAAAAAAAGAACAAGUGUAAGCCAUGUUAAUCAAUCUACUAAUUCAACAAAGCGUUUGUAUGAUAUUGUUUACAACUAAUUUCUAGGACCAUUAAGAAAUUUGUAACUUUUUUUUGCAGUGCGCUCUAAAAGAUUAACAAGUCAAUCUAGCAUGAUGACGACGAUGCUUAGAUAAGCUCGAAUUAGGGCCGAGUAGGAUUCUGAAGUAAAACGGUUUUAUUGAAGUUCCUUAACUUUGCUUACGAGCGAAGGAACCGUUAGAGCCAAAAGCGACUCCACACAGUUUUAAGCGCAGUAUUACUAUGCAUACAAGAAGUCAGAGAAAACGUUACCUUUACUAAAUAGGCAAUAAUCUGGGGCCGUUCUCCCGUAAUGCCCAUUUAUCACACUCUUCACUUCAGCAACUUCGACGGGCCAUUAAAUUCAACAAUGAAACGAGAAAAUAAGUGGUUUGUUUAAUUCAAGUCCAAUAUGACGUAUUAUUGAUCACGCCCACGAAGUUGUAUGCAUAGACUUCGUAAUGCCGUCGCAUAAUGGUACAAAAAGAUGCCUCAGAGACAAUAAUUGUUACACGCUGCUUAUUUAGACUGCCUUUAAUCUAUGCCUCGGUUGCUGAGCUUCCUGUUGGGUGCCAUGUCUCUUUUGAUACGUCGAGCGAAGGCCCGCACGGCUUAAAGCCCUAGUACUUAAAUAUUUUCUAGAAAAGGACCGUUCUGGAAAGUGGCUGUUAAAAACAGCUGUAGGGUUUUUAACAACUGUGUUUCACAUUUUCGCACUCGACGUUUUUAUUGAGCUAAUCUCCUAGCGCAAACAAAGUGUAUCGUGACUCUCAUAUUAUAUAUAUAAUAUGACAAAAACGGCGUGCUGUUCUAAUAACUGUAGACCAGAAUCUACAACGUUUGAUAGGAAAGCGGCAUAUCGCAAACGCAUGGAGAUAAUUGGUGGAUCGAUGGUUUUAACAAUUUGCCUAAGAAGAAGAUUAUAUAAGGCCGUAUUGCAAUAUGGUCGGAUGUUUUUCGAGGUUACGAGCCAAUAAUAAAGUCAUAUAGAAUGGGGGAGUUGCGCGCUUUUAUUAAUGCGCUCAUUCGAAGCCCAGACUACUAGAUGAAAACUCGUUCCGAAAAUCAUGUAAACAAGCCAACAGUCAUGGCGAAAAAAAGUACUUCAUCACCGGAAUAUGAGCGAAGAUUAGCCAUUGUCCAAUGUCUUCACGCCGGGCGAACUCCGG